Heterocephalus glaber (naked mole-rat) is the source of this 127-nucleotide small nucleolar RNA. The record is from Ensembl. Lineage: Eukaryota; Metazoa; Chordata; Mammalia; Rodentia; Bathyergidae.
AGCACUUGUGUCUGCUUUUGUCUAACUUGUGGACUAAGACUUAUGGACAAGGAUAAAAAGUAAAUCCUCUUUUGCAACCCAGAACUCAUUGUUCAGUAUGAGUCUUGUACGUGAAAGAAGGAAUAUU